AUGCAGCACCGCGCCAGGCAAUUGAGAACAAAGUCACCAAUGUCCUCGCUCCCUGUACGCCGACCACAUGUUCGAUGCAAUGCCCAAGCCGCACCGAUGCAAUGCCCAAGCCGCACCGUCACCAUGUCAGUGACAGCUCCAGCCGCAACAUCAGCUUCGUCAAAGGUCAUCGUCGAUGUCGUUCCCGAGCUCUGCUGCCUUGACCUUAAACCAUCUGAUGUCCUCAAGCUUGUCAGAACGCCGCCCAAGUGUUCGACAGAAGUUCUGUAUGACGGCCCUGUGGUCAUGACUGAGCAGCAGGACCACUCCAGGGAAUAUGAACAUUCAGUACAAGAUGCCAACAUGCCAUGUGUGCUUCAUGUCAUCAAUAGUUGUGAGUUCCCUGUAACUACCAACCAGGUCAAAACUGCGGCCCUUCGCCCAGCUAAAUCAAUCAUGGAGCACAAGCUAAUUGGUGUGGAGUCACUGCACACAUCGUGGACUCCAGCGAGGAGCACAACUUUUAGAAUGUUCAAUGUGCAAGGUACAUUGUAUGUUAUGCAGUUAUCAGGGAAAUUGCAAGAGUUGGAAACUGUGGAACCUACAGGGAGUGCACCUCUCACUGUGAUUUAUAGUGUUCCUGGAGUUCAAACGGCACGGCUGAAUCCAACUAUAUUCAAGUGGUCAGAUCUUUUUUGUUUUGCCACACAAUUUCUUAGUGCAGGCACUCUUGAUUUAUUACUAGCGAAGCGAGAUGCACCUACUGUGAUUGGGAGUUUGUCCUGUGAGAUUCAGAGCAAGGGAAUAAUAGCAGAGAGACCAUAUUGGCAAUUUAUUGCAGAAAACUGA
RNAcentral lists this ribosomal RNA (828 nucleotides) under Triticum aestivum (bread wheat). Its description in RNAcentral is "partial small subunit ribosomal RNA". The record is from RNAcentral. Lineage: Eukaryota; Viridiplantae; Streptophyta; Magnoliopsida; Poales; Poaceae.